UACGGAGGGGGCUAGCGUUGUUCGGAAUUACUGGGCGUAAAGGGCUCGUAGGCGGCCAACUAAGUCAUACGUGAAAUCCCCCAGCUUAACUGGGGAACUGCGUGUGAUACUGGAUGGCUUGGAUUUGGGAGAGGGAUGCGGAAUUCCAGGUGUAGCGGUGAAAUGCGUAGAUAUCUGGAGGAACACCGGUGGCGAAGGCGGCAUCCUGGACCAAUAUUGACGCUGAGGAGCGAAAGCCAGGGGAGCAAACGGG
RNAcentral lists this ribosomal RNA (253 nucleotides) under uncultured bacterium. Its description in RNAcentral is "partial 16S ribosomal RNA". It matches the Rfam family "Bacterial small subunit ribosomal RNA", at positions 524 to 776 of the family's 1533-position model. The record is from RNAcentral.